Molecule: ribosomal RNA, 475 nt
Filed under: uncultured bacterium
Lineage: Bacteria
Description: bacterial SSU rRNA
Rfam family: Bacterial small subunit ribosomal RNA
Source: RNAcentral
GGGGACCCGCAAGCGGUGGAGCAUGUGGUUUAAUUCGAAGCAACGCGAAGAACCUUACCAGGUCUUGACAUCCUCUGACCAUCCUAGAGAUAGGACCUUCCCCUUCGGGGGACAGAGUGACAGGUGGUGCAUGGUUGUCGUCAGCUCGUGUCGUGAGAUGUUGGGUUAAGUCCCGCAACGAGCGCAACCCUUGUCCUUAGUUGCCAGCAUUCAGUUGGGCACUCUAAGGAGACUGCCGGUGACAAACCGGAGGAAGGUGGGGAUGACGUCAAAUCAUCAUGCCCCUUAUGACCUGGGCUACACACGUGCUACAAUGGAUGGUACAACGGGUUGCGAAGCCGCGAGGUGUAGCUAAUCCCAUAAAACCAUUCUCAGUUCGGAUUGUAGGCUGCAACUCGCCUACAUGAAGCCGGAAUCGCUAGUAAUCGCGGAUCAGAAUGCCGCGGUGAAUACGUUCCCGGGUCUUGUACACACC